This is an RNA transcript of Astyanax mexicanus (Mexican tetra), 7062 nucleotides long. It is a transcript of the gene named neurite extension and migration factor b, with no coding region annotated. The record is from RefSeq and is a predicted model, not a curated record. The transcript is spliced from 4 exons. NCBI's taxonomy places the organism in Eukaryota, Metazoa, Chordata, Actinopteri, Characiformes, Acestrorhamphidae.
AAAGCCCAAUAGAGAGACGCGGAAAGGGGAGCAGCAAGUUAACGAGACUGCGCCCUGCGAGGAGGAGGGGGGGCACGAGAGAGAGAGAGAGAGAGAGAGAGAGAGAGAGAGAGAGAAAAGAGAGAGAGGGAGAGAGAGAGAGAAAAAAAGAGAGAGAGAGAGGAUAUAGAAGAUAACGCCUCAACAAUGGCACCAUCAGGCACCUGGUAGUAGAGGGAGGGGAGCGGGCGGCGAGCUGCGCGCUGCGGGAGCUGGAGGCACAGUCGCGGGCUUGUGAGCCAUUGUGAGCCGCCGAGCCAUGGUGGAGUACAACCGGCGCUGCGCGUUCAGAAGAUGGAGCUCUAGGGGGAAGAGAAGCGGGCUGGCUCCAUCACUGGGAGGCGCGUCCACCUGCUCAUAGAGGAGGCCCAGGCUCGGAGGAGGAGGAGAAGAUCAGGAGAAGAAGCAGCAGAAGAGAAGGAGGAGAGAAGGAGGUGGAGAACAUGGAGAAGUGCCUGCAUUGAAAGGAAAAAAUAUAGAAAAAAUUGAGGAAUUGUCCAAAAAAGGGUCCAAAGCUUAUUUAUUUUCAUGCUGGCAGAGGAGGAGGCGUCGAGAAGAAACAAGCCUCAUAAAACAAGCCCCAAAAAGCUUCCCAAAAUCCUGCCAGUCUGCUGUCAGGGGGCUCUGGAGGUGCUGGAACAGGAGGUACUGAGGCGGCGCAGUGGAGAUGGACUGACACGUCCCAUUGAUGGAUGUCCUUAAAGAGACGAGUCUCAUUGUGCCGACUUUGAAUUCAGUGCAGACUAAUGUCCUGGACCAGACUGGUUUACGUGAGCUGAGGGGUAAUCUGAAGCUGUAUGGUGCUACAGAUGCUGCCUUCCCCCUAUCCUCCUCACCUGAUGCACUAAGUGCCCUACGAGGAGCUUCAGACAACCAUAGAGUGGUGUUGGCAUUACGGGAGUGUCUCCUCCCGAGCCCACCCUCACCGCAGACUCUCACCGAGGCCUCCAAGCAGCCUACUGAUGAGUCCUCCAGCCACGCCAUAUCUCUCCCAUCCAGCGUUACCAAGAGUUUAAGCUCUUGGACCCUGUCAGAAGACAGCAAGAAGCCUCCCUUCACCAUGAUGGAACCAUUGGGCGUCUCUGGGCUGGCCGAGGACUGCCUGAUCCAGCAGAGCCGCACCUUCCUGGGUUGCAUCAUCGAGACCAAGGAUGUCUCGGAUGCUGAACCGAGCAUCAGCCUAAAAAUGGGCGACAUAAACCGGGAGUACGAUGCUUGCUCCAUUUCUGACAUUAACAUGCAGUGCAUGAGCACCAGCGAGACUGGCAGUUAUGGGGAUCAGCUCUUGUCUGACCAGCUUUUGAGCUUUCCCAUACCCAAGCCCCAGCUGGGUGAGAAAAAGGAUGCAGAUAAAGCAGAAAACGACGCAGAUCAGACCACAAAAAACUUGUACGACGGCCUGCUGCUGGACAAGUGCAAUGGAGAGGAGGGCCUGCUCACCAAUUCAAACCAGGACUGGGGAUACUUUGAAUCCUUCAUCAGCGAGAGCAAAAUGGAGCUGCUGGACCUCUGUUCAAAAAACGAGCUCUCGGUCAACCUCUUCUCCGAGGAGGACGUGGACAACUACAUGUUCGACGAUGACGACGAUUCUACACUGAGCAGCGACGUGUGUUCCCUGAAGAUCCGCUACGAGUCCUUCCAAGACAAUAUGAGGGAGAAAACCAACGUCCUUCAGGAGGAAACCCAGUUAAAUUUUUUCCCCAGUGUCCUGGUGAACUGCACGAAAAAAGAAAGCGGCGUGGUUAAGAAAAGUGCGGACGAGCUCGAAACCAAACCCGAAGAACUAGAAGGACUAGAAAACGAAAGUAAAGCAGAUGUCAGUGACAGUUCCAUAGAUAGAACGCUUGAUUACAGUCCAAAAAUGAACUACUUCGUUGAUUACAGCAACUCGGCUGAAGACUCAGGGGAGUACAGUGAUGACAGCUCAAGUAAUGGUUCCUUCAUUGACACCUUCCAUCUGGAUAAACAUAGAAACUCAUUUUCUCGAAAGAAUGUAUGCACCUCCAACCCUCUAAACUACGGAUUACGAGCGAAAAGAAAAGCCAGGUUCAGCGACGACUAUCUUUACGACGUCGACUCCAUAGAAAGUGAAAGAAACAACGAAAAGCGCGAGAAGCCACCUUCCGAUCCGAAGGAGGAAGAGGACGCCGACUGGUGUCCUAAAAAGAGAAGGAAAUCUUCCCGCAAGGAGCCACCCGUGAUAAUCAAAUAUAUCAUUAUAAACAGGUUCAAAGGAGAAAAGCACAUGUGUGUGAAGCUCAGCAAAAUUGAUCCAGCAGUCACGACUGUAAGCUUAAACAAGGACACCAUCGGUGAAUAUGAAAAGCUGGCUCCUCUGAAGGAUUUCUGGCAGGAGAAACAGAGGGAGCAAGAGGAGAAGCUUAGGCUGGCGGCAGGAGAUAAACACAAUUUCCAUCUUAACGGCCGCCAUCGACCCUUUAGUUCCAGUCCUCCCAAAAGGAAAUACAAGCUCGCAAACAGACUUAGGAUUCAGAGGAUUCAAACUGUGGAGCGAGCAGCACCCCACAAGCUGAGCUCCUCUCCCUCUGAUCUUAGGCAGGAGGCUGAUUCGAAAGAAGAGGCUGCCCCCAUGGCAAGGCCAUUAACAAUAGGAGCCCCCAGCUGCGCGAGUGCAUUAGAGCCGAGUGACGCCGCUCACUGUACUACCAAAAAGAGCAGAUCGCAAAUAAGGGAGGAGAGCAGGGUGGGAAAUAAGACAGGCAGGAUACGCAAAUUCAAAAGCGAAGCGAGGCUGAGGAGCAACAGAAUGAAAGAACUUGAGGAAAGAGGCGAAAGCAUGACAAACCUGAGCGAUGCUUGCGCUGUGCUGGAAAAUAAGGAAACAACAGGGGGCGGGAAAGAAACAGAGAUCAACUCCGCCGCUCACAGUCCCCAGUUGAGCGAGAGUCAAACAGCCGAGGCCGCUGAAAAAUUUGCUUUCAUGUCUGCCACCUGCUCCCCUAACAAUGCCACGUCAUCUGAGGACGCGGCCACGAAUGUAGCUGUUAUCCCCGGGGGCUACUUACAGACAUUGUUAGAUGCCUCGGAUUCCUCGGGUGGCUCCGGUGGAUCUUUCUUCCCGCAGCAGACCCCCAGGCAACACUCGCUAGGUCUCUCGCUGGAAGAGCAACAAUUUGCUUCUCUGCAGCUGGCCCAGAGCUGUGUUCUCUCCCCUCCCUCUGAAUCAGAGCUGCAGCAGUCACCCCAGAAUUGUCCCAGCCUCUCCCAGAUGUGGCACUCCCAGCUUGGCCCUGGCCAGCAGUUCGCCUCCGAUAUCCCAGAGACGGCCUUGCCCAGCAUCUUGCCCAACAACUUCACCAGUGCCAUGCCCAUGCCCAUGUCAGAGAGCCUGCCAGUGCCGGGGUACAGCCAGCUGGGGCUGGAAAGCAACAGAAUGCUUUAUGAAAAAAAUUACAUGCCUGAGCAGGCGCUGCCGCCUGACGCAGAAUUUCAAGCAUGUCAGGUUCCCUGCGUGGAGGGCCAGCUACAGUUUCAAAGAAGCACAGUGCACACUGACAACGGCAGGCUCAUCAGUUUCGACUCAGUUGGCUCGCUGUCAGCUACUUCCAGCAAUUACAGCUCUCUGAGUCUCAAGUCCUGUGAGAAGGACGGGGAGGAUGAUGUGAACGAGAACUUUCUGGCCCACUGCAGUCCCAAACUGGUGAUUCAGCAGAGUAUUGAUGCAAUCACCCCCUUAAGGGAAUCCACAGACUUGCUGGAUAUCUCCAACUUCACUCCAGAUAAAUUCAGACACACAUCACUGUCAGAGCUCUCGCCCCCUGAGACGCCCAAUUUAUCCCCCCAGGUCAUAGGCCGAGAUAUGAAGAUAGUGUGGAAAGCCAAGGAUCCCCAGAACGGGUCCGAGAUGACACUGGAGGGCACCCAAGAGAUUAAAUGGAACUGCAACAUGAUGGAACAGCAACAGGACCAUCUGACUGGAUUUGCGGCGACGGAUAGUCGGCAGUAUCAUCAGUUGCAGAGUUUUAACAGCGGCAACUGCUUAGGCUUGGAGAAGAAGUGCAUAAAUCAAACUAACUUUGACGGGCAGGUCGUUGACAUGAAUGGCGUGGCGAAAGGUUCAAAGUCAAAGAAGAAAAGUAGCAACAAGCAAACUGCAGGGCAGGGUCCUAAAAAAGUCAAAGCACCAAAAGCUGCAAAGGGGGACAAACCCAAGACGCCGCGACAGAACUCAAGAGCGUCCAAAAAGCUGAAAGCCUUACUGGAUGAAAAGGGCGGUAAAGGCCAACUCGAUGGCUCCAAGUGUCCAACAAACCUGAUGACGGAUAGCGGCUUUGAGGACUGGCAAGGAAUGGGCUUGUCCGAAGGCAACGGUCAGGCUGAUGACCAGCGAGAGUUCGAAGAGCCAUCGAACAUCCUUUCAAACAUAGUGUCAGGGAUGGCCGAAGUGCAGCGAUUCAUGAUGGCCUCCAUUGAGCCGAUUUGGGGCCCUGCAGCAAACAUCUGCUUACCGUCCGAGGCCAACAGCCUGAAGUUAAAAACUCUAAAAAUCCUGGCAGGGACCUCAUCCGACCCCAAGAAGAAAAGUGCUGCAUCUGCCGGAGGAGCGAAAGGAAAGAAAACGGGAGGGAAAGGUGGCAAAAAUCAGACCAAGUUCAACGCUGCUCAUCCCUUCUUCCCCCAGUUGGCUCUGGGAUGCAACAUGUUCGACAAGCCAAACCUCGGAGUCCACGGCAUAAACGGACCCGCGCACAAAAAGAUGUACCGCCACAAAACCAGUGCGAAAUUCCCCCGCAUCGAAAACCUUAAGGGCAAGCUGGCUGAGCGAGACCCAAAUAAGGACAUAGCACUGAUGACCUCUUUUGAAAAACUGAGGUAAUAUUUUGUAAACUAGCUGCUGAUGCACGUUCCUCACUUUCCCCCCUCCCCCACACACUUCCUGCUCAGCCCUCCGUCCCUGACAUACCUGCACUGACUCGAUGCCAGAGAUGCAUGGAAAUCACACUACCCUUUGACCCACCCUCCUUAUUUUUUCGCCCCCCUGAAGAAGAAGAUAUAGAUAUCUUGCAUGAGAAACUUCUUGUACUUGCAAACUACCUAUUGAGUGAUUGUGUACGGCUUGAUUGAGAUUUAAAAAACUACCAUGGCUGCAUUUUCCUCUUGCUUUUGCUGUUUUUACCUGUUUUUACCUUGUAGUUGUUUUGUUUUUUUGUUUCUUGUUUUUUGGUUCUCGUCUGAAGAGAAGGAAAAAAAAAAGCCUUGAUUUUUCUUUUUUUUUUUGCUUUCUUUUAUUCGGGGGGAGACUUUUUUUUCUAUUUAUGUUUUUUUUAUUUUUUUUACAGUGAAUUAUUUUGCUGCCCUGAACUUAUGUAAUUAUAUUCCUUGUUGGAAACAUGUAGCUGUUUGGAUAAAAAAAGACAAAAUGCUUGUGGCAAGUAAGCUCCCCUAUUAGCUAGUUAUUUUUUCUUUUUUUUAUAAUAUAUAUAUAUAUAUAUAUAUAUAUAUAUAUAUAUAUAUAUUUGCAGAACAGGAUGACCUCUCCUUGCUUUUUCUCCCUUAUAUACAGUAUAUACUGCCUGACUUUUUAAAAAGCGGAAAAUGCCAAGCCUCCUAUUUAGGAUAAUAAACAUCCUUAGCAGGCCCCAAGACAUCAAUAUAUAUAAAGCACAUAACGGGACCGUUUUUUGUAUUGAAGACAUAUCAGAUUAAACGUAUUGUCCUUUUUUUCUUACGUAUGGAAUGUUAUAAAAGUUAUAAUUUUCUUCCUAUGCUUUUACUAUGCUUUUACAGGAGUUUUACUGGAACUUAUCUUAGAGGGACAGUUCUAAGCCAUGGAAAUCCAAAAUGCUUCACUCUUCUUUUCUCUUUUCUUUUCCUUUUUUGGCAGUGUCCCUGUAUAAAAAAAUGCACUAUUUAAUGAAAACAUGAAUUCUGAAAAUCAGUGUGCCAAAUGUAAACUGUGCAAAAUUAUUAUUAAUGAAUACUGAAAACUUGCUGUUUCUUUUUAGCAUCACUAUGAAUCCCUAUUAUGGCAUUAUGGCCGUUUUCUUUUGAGACUCUGCACGAGUUGACGUUCUGGAUCCCCCUCCCGCCACCCCACACUUUUCUUUUGGGACUCUAUACGGUGAAGAGCACCCUGCAGCUGACAGUGGUACAUAACACCACUCAUAUAACCAAAACAACUCUCGCUCUGAACUUUCCUCCUCCUUUUUCCACCUCCUCGCCAAAUUCAGUUUACCUCAGAAUAACUUGGCUUUGAGAUUAAAAAAGACGAACGAAUGGAGACGCGUCUUAAAGAAAAGCACGGGAGAAGAUACGGACAGUGUUCGUUCUGGAUAGAGAACAGCAUCUGGCGUCAGAUGCUCUCCGUGUUAAAGGACCCGGACACGCUGGCGAUGGGGAAACUGCACACGGGCGUCACGCUCACCUGCCUGCCUUCUCGUUUCUGCCUAUUUUCGAUUGAAUGUACUUCUACAAGAUUUGUACAGUGUGCCACUGUUGAGCUGCCUCCUCUUACUGGUGCUAAGAAAGCAAAUUUUUCUUUUUUUUUUGUUUUGUUCUUCUUUCCCAGAUAUGACAAAAAAAUGGAAAGGAAAAAAAGAGAAAAUAUAGAAACACAAAGCCCUAAUCCUCUCUUUAUGAAUGUAUAAUAUAUGGUUAUGUUUGAUGUAUUCACACCAUAAUUCUUUGACAUUAAUUGGGAUUAUUACUUUUUGCUUUUUUUGUUGAAAAGAGUAUUGAGCUUUAUAAAUAUUGUCUAGAGUUGAUACCAGAGGGAUUCUUAAUGAACUCUUGACAAGACAAAAAAUUACUGUAUAUUUUUCUCUGUGCCAAUUUGUAACAUAUUUUGUAAGUGUAUAUUUUUCUUAGAAAGUGCUGUGAAGUAUUAGUGUGUGUGAGUAACCUUUUUUGCGCCUCUGUAGGCAGUGAAAAGGAUGUAUAAUGAAAAAGUUUCUGGUUUUAAAAACCAAACCAUUAAGUAACACAAAAAAAAAAAUCUACAUUUUUGUUGGGAGUUUUGUACGAGAAAAUUGACCUUGUUGUGGGAGUACUGUGUUCAUGUGG